This is an RNA transcript of Homo sapiens (human), 1430 nucleotides long. It is a transcript of the gene named solute carrier family 66 member 1 like, pseudogene, with no coding region annotated. Lineage: Eukaryota; Metazoa; Chordata; Mammalia; Primates; Hominidae. The record is from RefSeq and is marked validated. The transcript has 5 exons.
AGUCGCGGAGGGGAAGGCUGAGGGACCCGGUCCCCGCCCCGCGUGCUCAGGCUGAACAGCUUUUCUUCCCUGAUCUCUCGGAGGCGCCGGCUGCUGGCCAACGCAGGGCAGCCUCCUGCGUGCGUGCUGUGGGUUUCUCCUUCAGUUUCCUCUCAUUGCCUGAGGUUGGGCCCGAACACGGCGGUACAUUUCCUUGAGAGUCUUCUACAUUCAUGCUGUAGAAGCUAUGAAAGUCGUGGGAAACUAUAGAGUCAACACUGCAAACUCAAGCACUGAUACGUCCGGAGAGCACUUGACCUGCCUUAGAAGUCAGCUCUUUGUAGCCUACAGAAAUGGAAGAGUGGAUGAAGCAGUCUCUCUGGGUUUUCUGGAUUGCUGGAUAGGUGGAGACCUGACAAAUUUCAAAGGCUGCUACCUGACUAACCAACUGCCUAUUCAGAUUUUUACAGCCAUCUUCGACAUGAACACGGAUGUAAUCAUACUCUCACAAUUCAUGUACUACAGGUUAAAGAAUCAGAAGAAAAAAAUGAUAUUCCAACCUCAGUUAUUCAAAGACUCCAUCACCAGAGAGAAAGUCAGAUUGUCACUUUGGGGAGUCCUCUGCCCUGUAUAUAUCCCAUAUUCUUUCAGAUAAGUGAAAUUAGCAUGCCUGGGUAUUACAGUUGUUUAUGCCAUACUACUAUAAAUACUUCUAAGAGAAGAUUUAUCUUGACUUAAGACUUGGAAUUUUGUUAAAUUAAUGCACAAAUGUAUAUGACCAUAACUUAACGAUGAUUUGUAUAUUAGCUGAGUCAAGUGGCAUACAUAAAAGCAAUGAAGGUUUCUUGGACAUUCUACACUGAAAUGUUUAGAAUGUUUAAAAAAUUUAUCUUUCUAUUUUCCAAUAGUGUGGUAAAUGUAAAGUGCUUAGCACUUUGCGUGACACAUGGUAGGGCCUCAAAAAAUAUUAGCUAUUAUCAUUAUAAACCACAGAGGCCCUGUUAUGUGGCAGUUUGUAUCUCUCUCUUGACUAAUAGAAGCACUUUGCAGAUGAUAUGUCACACAAUCUAGAAAGGUAGUGCUUAAAGGAAUAGACUUAUCUCCUUAUUUUACAAAUGAGGACAUUGAGGCCCUAGGAAGUUAAAUGACUUAGACAAAAUCACAAAGGUAAAGUGGAAAGCCCAGGAGAAAUCCCCUGGCCUUCAGCCUGCUGUGAUUUCUACCAACUAUAGAUUAGAACUUUUCAGACAAGUGGCACCUGCAAGUGUCUUCGAGCAAGGCCUCAACCUCCAGCACAGCUCUUGCCACCUACAAACACCAGGGAAGAGCAAGAUUGAGUUACAUGGCUUGGAAGAAGAGUGAAACACCUCGCAAGACCCAGAGAAAACUCCACAUCCAUUUGCAGCUAAUUUUAAAGCCCAAAUAAAAGCACAAUCUUUGGAAUCACUCUA